CGCGUCUUUUGUUGUGUUAUAUAUUUUAUCUCUUUUUAUUUUUUCUUAUUACAUUAUUUUUCCUUGAACGAUCAACCGACGACGACGACGACCACUUGCUCGUCUGCCUCAGCUUGAUAUCUCUUGGCUAGCAAAAUGAACGAGACACGACAGGAGAUAUUUUUUUUUGUUUUGUGUGAUGAUUGCCCACUGUUUUCCAACAUGUUUCAACUGCACUGGGAUCAAUAAAAUUAUUUAUUAUUGUUGAUAAUAAUAGUUAUAAAUUUAAUAAAAAUUUUAAAAUAAAAGGCGAAUAAAGAUGUGAGCAGUUUCAACAAAAACCCCAAGUGUCAAUAAUACUGACAUAAAAAAUCUGACACUUGUGUGGCUCAUCGAACAUGAAAUCAAUUAACCAUCAGGCUCAUCAACACAUCCAGAUGGCUGUGGAUGCUCAUGACUGUCAAACUCCAAUUAUCGAUAUAAAAAAUUAUGGCCAGAAAUUAAUUGGGACAUACAGCUGACAAGUGACUAAAGUCUUCUUACUAUAUUAAACGAAGAAUAGUGUUUCAGGUAUCAUUAGAUAUUUCGAAGUUGAUCAGGACUAAACACCAAGAAUGAUUGGCUGAAUAGCAUUUGCAGACAAUUUACUAAACAAAUACUGUAAAAAAUAAUAAUAAAGAGUAUAUUAAAAAAAGAUCAUUGGAUGAUGCAUUUGAAGGCUUUGCUUGAUGACUGCUUGCUGAG
Long non-coding RNA from Aphidius gifuensis, 723 nucleotides. RefSeq lists it as uncharacterized. NCBI's taxonomy places the organism in Eukaryota, Metazoa, Arthropoda, Insecta, Hymenoptera, Braconidae. The transcript has 6 exons. The record is from RefSeq and is a predicted model, not a curated record.